This 402-nucleotide ribosomal RNA is filed under the name uncultured bacterium. RNAcentral's name for it is "bacterial SSU rRNA". It matches the Rfam family "Bacterial small subunit ribosomal RNA", at positions 354 to 772 of the family's 1533-position model. The record is from RNAcentral.
GUAAGGGAUAUUGCACAAUGGGCGCAAGCCUGAUGCAGCAACGCCGCGUGCAUGAUGAAGGCCUUCGGGUCGUAAAAUGCUUUUCUGACUGAAGAGGAAGGACAGUAAGUCAGGAAUAAGUGUCGGCUAACUACGUGCCAGCAGCCGCGGUAAAACGUAGGACGCAAGCGUUAUCCGGAGUUACUGGGCGUAAAGCGCGGGCAGGCGGUUCUUCAAGUCUGAUGUGAAAUCUCCUCGCUCAACGGGGAGCAGCCAUUGGAAACUAGAGAACUGGAGUCUGACAGAGGUAGGCGGAAUUCCGGGUGGAGUGGUGAAAUGCGUAGAGAUCCGGAGGAACACCAGAGGCGAAGGCGGCCUACUGGGUCAGUACUGACGCUGAGCCGCGAAAGCUAGGGGAGCGAA